GACGAACGCUGGCGGCGUGCUUAACACAUGCAAGUCGAACGGAAAGGCCCUGCUUUCGUGGGGUGCUCGAGUGGCGAACGGGGGAGUAACACGUGAGUAACCUGCUCUUGACUUUGGGAUAACUUCAGGAAACUGGGGCUAAUACCGGAUAGGAGCUCCUGCUCCAUGGUGGGGGUUGGAACGUUUCGGCGGGUGGGGAUGGACUCGCGGCUGAUCAGCUUGCUGGUGGGGUAGUGGCUUACCAAGGGUUUGACGGGUAGCCGGCCUGAGAGGGUGGCCGGCGACAAUGGGACUACGGUACGGACCAGAGUCGUACGGGAGGCAGCAGUGGGGAAUAUGGCACAGUGGGCGGAAGCCUGAGGCAGCAACGCCGGGUGCGGGAUGACGGCCUGCGGGUUGUAAACCGCUGUCGCCUGUGACGAAGCGGGAGUGACGGUAAUGGGUGAAGAAGCACCGGCUAACUACGUG
This 468-nucleotide ribosomal RNA is filed under the name uncultured bacterium. Its description in RNAcentral is "partial 16S ribosomal RNA". It matches the Rfam family "Bacterial small subunit ribosomal RNA", at positions 28 to 507 of the family's 1533-position model. The record is from RNAcentral.